GGUUGCGAUCAUACCAGCACUAAUGCACCGAAUCUCAUCAGAACUCCGCAGUUAAGCGUCUUUGGGAGAGAGUAGUACUAGGAUGAGUGACCCCUGGGAAGUCCUCGUGCUGCAACCC
RNAcentral lists this ribosomal RNA (118 nucleotides) under Helianthus annuus (common sunflower). Lineage: Eukaryota; Viridiplantae; Streptophyta; Magnoliopsida; Asterales; Asteraceae. The record is from RNAcentral.